UUCUUUAAAUGGGGACUUGUAUCAACGGCNUCACGAGGGUUACACUGUCUCCUUUUUCUAAUCAGUGAAACUAAUCUUCCCGUGAAGAAGCGGGAAUAUCCCCAUAAGACGAGAAGACCCCAUGGAGCUUCAAACCCAAUUACACCCCUAACCCCUAUAACUACUUAACCCUUA
This 174-nucleotide ribosomal RNA is filed under the name Mantidactylus katae. RNAcentral's name for it is "partial 16S ribosomal RNA". The record is from RNAcentral. Lineage: Eukaryota; Metazoa; Chordata; Amphibia; Anura; Mantellidae.